Molecule: ribosomal RNA, 484 nt
Filed under: uncultured bacterium
Lineage: Bacteria
Description: partial 16S ribosomal RNA
Rfam family: Bacterial small subunit ribosomal RNA
Source: RNAcentral
AUUGAACGCUGGCGGCAGGCCUAACACAUGCAAGUCGAGCGGAUGAAGGGAGCUUUCUCCUGGAUUCAGCGGCGGACGGGGGAGUAAUGCCUAUGAAUCUGCCUGGUAGUGGGGGAUAACGUCCGGAAACGGGCGCUAAUACCGCAUACGUCCUGAGGGAGAAAGUUGGGGAUGUUCGGACCUCACGCUAUCAUAUGAGCCUAGGUCGGAUUAGAUAGUUGGUGGGGUAAAGGCCUACCAAGGCGACGAUCCGUAACUGGUCUGAGAGGAUGAUCAGUCACACUGGAACUGAGACACGGUCCAGACUACUAAGGGAGGGAGCAGUGGGGAAUAUUGGACAAUGGGCGAAAGCCUGAUCCAGCCAGGCGGCGUGUGUGAAGAAGGUCUUCGGAUUGUAAAGCACGUUAAGUUGGGAGGAAGCGCAGUAAGUUAAGACCUUGCUGUUUUGACGUUACCAACAGAAUAAGCACCGGCUAACUUCGUG